This 552-nucleotide ribosomal RNA is filed under the name Streptomyces sp. Its description in RNAcentral is "bacterial SSU rRNA". It matches the Rfam family "Bacterial small subunit ribosomal RNA", at positions 56 to 628 of the family's 1533-position model. The record is from RNAcentral. Lineage: Bacteria; Bacillati; Actinomycetota; Actinomycetes; Kitasatosporales; Streptomycetaceae.
UGCAGUCGACGAUGACCACUUCGGUGGGGAUUAGUGGCGAACGGGUGAGUAACACGUGGGCAAUCUGCCCUGCACUCUGGGACAAGCCCUGGAAACGGGGUCUAAUACCGGAUAACACUUCGGGCCUCAUGGUCUGUGGUUAAAAGCUCCGGCGGUGCAGGAUGAGCCCGCGGCCUAUCAGCUUGUUGGUGAGGUAAUGGCUCACCAAGGCGACGACGGGUAGCCGGCCUGAGAGGGCGACCGGCCACACUGGGACUGAGACACGGCCCAGACUCCUACGGGAGGCAGCAGUGGGGAAUAUUGCACAAUGGGCGAAAGCCUGAUGCAGCGACGCCGCGUGAGGGAUGACGGCCUUCGGGUUGUAAACCUCUUUCAGCAGGGAAGAAGCGAAAGUGACGGUACCUGCAGAAGAAGCGCCGGCUAACUACGUGCCAGCAGCCGCGGUAAUACGUAGGGCGCAAGCGUUGUCCGGAAUUAUUGGGCGUAAAGAGCUCGUAGGCGGCUUGUCACGUCGGGUGUGAAAGCCCGGGGCUUAACCCCGGGUCUGCAUUC